UGCCGGUGUGAGUAGCGGAACGUGGGUGAGAAUCCCACGCACCGAAAACCCAAGGAUUCCAGAGGAAGGUUCGUCCGCUCUGGGUAAGUCGGGACCUAAGGCGAGGCCGAAAGGCGUAGUCGAUGGACAACAGGUAGAGAUUCCUGUACUUGUAUAUAUGUGAAGGAAUGACGGAGAGAGAAAGCUGAAGCCAGCGGCUGGAAGAGCUGGUGCAAGCGAGAUAGCGGGAUGGCAGGCAAAUCCGCCAUCCACAACGCGAAGACGUGAUGCGAACGGAAAGCUACGGCGAGUACGGAAGUCAGUGGACGAGCUUCCAAGAAAAGUUUCUAACAUAAGUAUAUGCAACCCGUACCGAAAAUGGACACACAUGGGUGAGGAGAGAAUCCUAAGGUGAGCGAGAGAACUAUAGCUAAGGAACUCUGCAAAAUGACUCCGUAACUUAGGGAGAAGGAGUGCUCAUAGAGAUAUGAGCCGCAGUGAAACGGCCCAAGCGACUGUUUACCAAAAACACAGCUCUCUGCUAAGCCGCAAGGCGAAGUAUAGGGGGUGACGCCUGCCCGGUGCUGGAAGGUUAAGGGGAGGGGUUAACGCAAGUGAAGCCCUGAACUGAAGCCCCAGUAAACGGCGGCCGUAACUAUAACGGUCCUAAGGUAGCGAAAUUCCUUGUCAGGUAAGUUCUGACCCGCACGAAAGGCGUAACGAUUUGGGCGCUGUCUCGGCUGUAGACUCGGUGAAGUCUUAGUACCUGUGAAGAUGCAGGUUACCCGCGACUAGACGGAAAGACCCCAUGGAGCUUCACUGCAGGUUGAUAUUGGGAUUUGAUGCAGCAUGUACAGGAUAGGUAGGAGGCUAGGAGAUGGAUACGCCAGUAUUCAAGGAGCCGCUGUUGGGAUACUACCCCUGUUGUAUUGGAUUUCUAACCGGACGACGUAAGCCGUUGACGGGACAGUGUCAGUCGGGCAGUUUGACUGGGGCGGUCGCCUCCCAAAGAGUAACGGAGGCGCCCAAAGAUACCCUCAGCUUGGAUGGAAAUCAAGCGCAGAGUGCAAAGGCAAAAGGGUGUUUGACUGCGAGACCAACAAGUCGAGCAGGGACGAAAGUCGGGCUUAGUGAUCCGGCGGUGCUGAAUGGAAAGGCCGUCGCUCAACGGAUAAAAGCUACCCUGGGGAUAACAGGCUGAUCUCCCCCAAGAGU
This 1194-nucleotide ribosomal RNA is filed under the name human gut metagenome. RNAcentral's name for it is "bacterial LSU rRNA". It matches the Rfam family "Bacterial large subunit ribosomal RNA", at positions 1295 to 2499 of the family's 2925-position model. The record is from RNAcentral.